GCACGUGUGGCGGAAUUGGUAGACGCACUAGACUUAGGAUCUAGCGGUUAAUUCCAUGGGGGUUCGAGUCCCUUCACGUGCACCA
RNAcentral lists this transfer RNA (85 nucleotides) under Candidatus Caccenecus avistercoris. Its description in RNAcentral is "tRNA-Leu". It matches the Rfam family "tRNA". Rfam says of the family: Transfer RNA (tRNA) molecules are approximately 80 nucleotides in length. Their secondary structure includes four short double-helical elements and three loops (D, anti-codon, and T loops). Lineage: Bacteria; Bacillati; Bacillota; Bacilli. The record is from RNAcentral.